AUCGGUUUUAAUAAUGUUCAUAGUAAAAAAAUAUCUGUUCAGUAGUUACAGUUGGAACUGAAAGAAUCAGUACAAGUUAAACUAAUAGGUAAAGAAGUGAAUAUAUUUAUGAUUUUCUUGUUGCCACCAACCAUUGACAUAACUUAGAAAUACUUGUCAAUUUUUAUAAGUCUGAAUGUUGCAAAAUUUCAAAUUCAUAAUAACAAAACUCUAUUCUC
This 218-nucleotide long non-coding RNA is filed under the name Ananas comosus (pineapple). RNAcentral's name for it is "long non-coding RNA (ACOM_LNC040726)". Lineage: Eukaryota; Viridiplantae; Streptophyta; Magnoliopsida; Poales; Bromeliaceae. The record is from RNAcentral.